RNAcentral lists this ribosomal RNA (460 nucleotides) under uncultured Rhodocyclaceae bacterium. RNAcentral describes it as "bacterial SSU rRNA". It matches the Rfam family "Bacterial small subunit ribosomal RNA", at positions 923 to 1382 of the family's 1533-position model. The record is from RNAcentral. Lineage: Bacteria; Pseudomonadati; Pseudomonadota; Betaproteobacteria; Rhodocyclales; Rhodocyclaceae.
GCACAAGCGGUGGAUGAUGUGGAUUAAUUCGAUGCAACGCGAAAACCUUACCUACCCUUGACAUGUCCGGAAUCCCGAAGAGAUUUGGGAGUGCUCGCAAGAGAACCGGAACACAGGUGCUGCAUGGCUGUCGUCAGCUCGUGUCGUGAGAUGUUGGGUUAAGUCCCGCAACGAGCGCAACCCUUGUCAUUAGUUGCCAUCAUUUGGUUGGGCCACUCUAAUGAGACUGCCGGUGACAAACCGGAGGAAGGUGGGGAUGACGUCAAGUCCUCAUGGCCCUUAUGGGUAGGGCUUCACACGUCAUACAAUGGUCGGUACAGAGGGUUGCCAACCCGCGAGGGGGAGCUAAUCCCACAAAGCCGAUCGUAGUCCGGAUCGCAGUCUGCAACUCGACUGCGUGAAGUCGGAAUCGCUAGUAAUCGCGGAUCAGCAUGUCGCGGUGAAUACGUUCCCGGGUCUU